This 253-nucleotide ribosomal RNA is filed under the name uncultured bacterium. RNAcentral's name for it is "partial 16S ribosomal RNA". It matches the Rfam family "Bacterial small subunit ribosomal RNA", at positions 524 to 776 of the family's 1533-position model. The record is from RNAcentral.
UACGUAGGGUGCGAGCGUUGUCCGGAAUUACUGGGCGUAAAGAGCUCGUAGGUGGUUUGUCGCGUUGUUCGUGAAAACUCACAACUCAAUUGUGGGCGUGCGGGCGAUACGGGCAGACUGGAGUACUGCAGGGGAGACUGGAAUUCCUGGUGUAGCGGUGAAAUGCGCAGAUAUCAGGAAGAACACCUAUGGCGAAGGCAGCACUCUGGGACGGUACUGACGCUGAGACGCGAAAGCGUGGGGAGCAAACAGG